AGCGCACACGGUGGAUGCCUUGGCGGUCAGAGGCGAUGAAGGACGUGGCAGCCUGCGAAAAGUAUCGGGGAGCUGGCAACAAGCUUUGAUCCGGUAAUGUCCGAAUGGGGAAACCCACCCGCUUGCGGGUAUCCUGCAGUGAAUACAUAGCUGCUGGAAGCGAACCUGGUGAACUGAAAUAUCUAAGUAACCAGAGGAAAAGAAAUCAACCGAGAUUCCGUAAGUAGCGACGAGCGAACGCGGACUAGCCCUUAAGCUGGAUUGGUUCUAGGAAAACGCUCUGGAAAGAGCGGCCAUAGAAGGUGAUAGCCCUGUAUCUGAAAGGGCCAUUCCAGUGAAGACGAGUAGGGCGGGGCACGUGAAACCCUGUCUGAACAUGGGGGGACCAUCCUCCAAGGCUAAAUACUACUGACCGACCGAUAGUGAACCAGUACCGUGAGGGAAAGGCGAAAAGAACCCCGGAGAGGGGAGUGAAAUAGAACCUGAAACCGUGUGCGUACAAGCAGUAGGAGCUCCGCAAGGAGUGACUGCGUACCUUUUGUAUAAUGGGUCAGCGACUUACUGUUCGUGGCAAGCUUAACCGUAUAGGGGAGGCGAAGGGAAACCGAGUCUGAUAAGGGCGCAUAGUCGCGGGCAGUAGACCCGAAACCGGGUGAUCUAGUCAUGCCCAGGGUGAAGGUGCGGUAACACGCACUGGAGGCCCGAACCCACUCCCGUUGCAAAGGUAGGGGAUGAGGUGUGAUUAGGAGUGAAAAGCUAAUCGAACCCGGAGAUAGCUGGUUCUCCUCGAAAGCUAUUUAGGUAGCGCCUCAUAUGUAUCCUCUCGGGGGUAGAGCACUGUUAUGGCUAGGGGGUCAUCGCGACUUACCAAACCAUUGCAAACUCCGAAUACCGAGACGGACUGUAUGGGAGACACACGGCGGGUGCUAACGUCCGUCGUGAAAAGGGAAACAACCCAGACCCACAGCUAAGGUCCCAAAUUUUGUGCUAAGUGGAAAACCAUGUGGAAAGGCACAGACAGCCAGGAGGUUGGCUUAGAAGCAGCCACCCUUUAAAGAAAGCGUAAUAGCUCACUGGUCGAGUCGGUCUGCGGGGAAGAUUUAACGGGGCUAAGCACAGAACCGAAGCUUGGGGUGCAUAACUUUGUUAUGCGCGGUAGAGGAGCGUUCCGUAAGCCGUUGAAGGUGGAUUGAGAAGUCUGCUGGAGGUAUCGGAAGUGCGAAUGCUGACAUGAGUAACGAUAAUGCGGGUGAAAAACCCGCACGCCGAAAGCCCAAGGUUUCCUUGCGCAACGUUAAUCGGCGCAGGGUGAGUCGGCCCCUAAGGCGAGGACGAAAGUCGUAGUCGAUGGGAAGCAGGUUAAUAUUCCUGCACCUCGCGUAAGUGCGAUGGAGGGACGGAGAAGGUUAGGUGUACCAGGCGUUGGUUGUCCUGGGGAAAGGCGGUAGGUUUGGAUCUUUGGCAAAUCCGGGAUCCUUUAAGACCGAGCACCGAGACGAGCCUUUAAGGCGAAGUCACUGAUACCACGCUUCCAGGAAAAGCUCCUAAGCUUCAGCUUACGCAGACCGUACCGUAAACCGACACAGGUGGGUAGGAUGAGAAUUCUCAGGCGCUUGAGAGAACUCGGGUGAAGGAACUAGGCAACAUGGCACCGUAACUUCGGGAGAAGGUGCACCCUUUUUGGUGGCUCGUGCGAGCUAUAGCUGAAGAGGGUCGCAGUAACCAGGCCGCUGCGACUGUUUAUCAAAAACACAGCACUCUGCAAACACGAAAGUGGACGUAUAGGGUGUGACGCCUGCCCGGUGCUGGAAGGUUAAUUGAUGGGGUCAGCCGCAAGGCGAAGCUCUUGAUCGAAGCCCCAGUAAACGGCGGCCGUAACUAUAACGGUCCUAAGGUAGCGAAAUUCCUUGUCGGGUAAGUUCCGACCUGCACGAAUGGCGUAACGACAGCGGCGCUGUCUCCACCCGAGACUCAGUGAAAUUGAAAUCGCUGUGAAGAUGCAGCGUUCCCGUGGCAAGACGGAAAGACCCCGUGAACCUUUACUAUAGCUUUACACUGAACGUUGAGUUCGUCUGUGUAGGAUAGGUGGGAGGCUACGAAACCAUGGCGCUAGCUGUGGUGGAGCCAUCCUUGAAAUACCACCCUGUCGUGCUUGACGUUCUAACCUGGGCCCAUUAUCUGGGUCGGGGACCGUGUAUGGUGGGUAGUUUGACUGGGGCGGUCUCCUCCUAAAGAGUAACGGAGGAGCUCGAAGGUACGCUCAGCGCGGUCGGACAUCGCGCACUGUGUGCAAAGGCAUAAGCGUGCUUGACUGCAAGAUCGACGGAUCAAGCAGGUAGGAAACUAGGACUUAGUGAUCCGGUGGUUCUGUAUGGAAGGGCCAUCGCUCAACGGAUAAAAGGUACUCCGGGGAUAACAGGCUGAUACCGCCCAAGAGUUCAUAUCGACGGCGGUGUUUGGCACCUCGAUGUCGGCUCAUCACAUCCUGGGGCUGUAGUCGGUCCCAAGGGUAUGGCUGUUCGCCAUUUAAAGUGGUACGCGAGCUGGGUUCAGAACGUCGUGAGACAGUUCGGUCCCUAUCUGCCAUGGGCGUUGGAGAUUUGAGAGGGGCUGCUCCUAGUACGAGAGGACCGGAGUGGACGAACCUCUGGUGUUCCGGUUGUCACGCCAGUGGCAUUGCCGGGUAGCUAUGUUCGGAAGCGAUAACCGCUGAAAGCAUCUAAGCGGGAAGCGCGCCUCAAGAUGAGAUCUCCCGGGGCACAAGCCCCCUGAAGGAACCAUGUAGACUACGUGGUUGA
This 2798-nucleotide ribosomal RNA is filed under the name Stenotrophomonas maltophilia. RNAcentral describes it as "bacterial LSU rRNA". It matches the Rfam family "Bacterial large subunit ribosomal RNA". Lineage: Bacteria; Pseudomonadati; Pseudomonadota; Gammaproteobacteria; Lysobacterales; Lysobacteraceae. The record is from RNAcentral.